RNAcentral lists this ribosomal RNA (478 nucleotides) under uncultured bacterium. Its description in RNAcentral is "partial 16S ribosomal RNA". It matches the Rfam family "Bacterial small subunit ribosomal RNA", at positions 28 to 523 of the family's 1533-position model. The record is from RNAcentral.
GACGAACGCUGGCGGCGUGCUUAACACAUGCAAGUCGAACGGUAAGGCCCUUCGGGGUACACGAGUGGCGAACGGGUGAGUAACACGUGGGUGAUCUGCCCUGCACUUCGGGAUAAGCCUGGGAAACUGGGUCUAAUACCGGAUAGGACCACUGCCUGCAUGGGUGGUGGUGGAAAGCUUUUGCGGUGUGGGAUGGGCCCGCGGCCUAUCAGCUUGUUGGUGGGGUGAUGGCCUACCAAGGCGACGACGGGUAGCCGGCCUGAGAGGGUGACCGGCCACACGGGGACUGAGAUACGGCCCAGAGUCCUACGGGAGGCAGCAGUGGGGAAUAUUGCACAAUGGGCGCAAGCCUGAUGCAGCGACGCCGCGUGAGGGAUGACGGCCUUCGGGUUGUAAGCCUCUUUCAGCACCGACGAAGCGCAAGUGACGGUAGGUGCAGAAGAAGGACCGGCCAACUACGUGCCAGCCGCCGCCGUAA